Roridomyces roridus is the source of this 100-nucleotide non-coding RNA. The record is from the annotation of a GenBank genome assembly. Lineage: Eukaryota; Fungi; Basidiomycota; Agaricomycetes; Agaricales; Mycenaceae.
GGGCAAAUAGUGUAGUUGGUUAUCGCGCCCGCUUCGCAUCGCCGCGGUCACGUGACGAAGAAUUUGCGGGAGGUGCUGGGUUCAAUUCCCAGUUUGUCCA